GUCCCCAUCGUCUAGUGGCCUAGGACACCGCCCUUUCACGGCGAUAACGGGGGUUCGACUCCCCCUGGGGACGCCA
Molecule: transfer RNA, 76 nt
Filed under: Aquitalea sp. S1-19
Lineage: Bacteria; Pseudomonadati; Pseudomonadota; Betaproteobacteria; Neisseriales; Chromobacteriaceae
Also listed under: 3 other names
Description: tRNA-Glu
Rfam family: tRNA
About the family: Transfer RNA (tRNA) molecules are approximately 80 nucleotides in length.
Source: RNAcentral